GGGGGGAAAAGGGGCGGCUGGCUAAGACAUGCAAGUCGAACGAGGUGUCCCAAUGAAAAUGAAGUACUUGUACGGAAGAGGAUUUGGAUUCACACCUAGUGGCGAACGGGUGAGUAACGGGUAGGCAACCUGCCCUCAAGACGGGGAUACCAGUUGGAAACGACUGUUAAUACCGGAUAGUAUACAAUAUCGCAUGGUAAUGUAUUUAAAGGAGCUUCGGCUUCACUUGAGGAUGGGCCUGCUUUGUAUUAGAUAGUUGGUGAGGUAAUGGCUCACCAAGUCAACGAUGCAUAGCCGAACUGAGAGGUUGAACGGCCACACUGGAACUGAGACACGGUCCAGACUCCUACGGGAGGCAGCAGUUAGGGAUAUUGGGCAAUGGAGGAAACUCUGACCCAGCAAUGCCGCGUGAGUGAAGAAGUAUUUCGGUAUGUAAAACUCUGUUGUAUGGGAGGAAAGAACUAGUAGGAAAUGGCUAGGAGAUGACUGUACCAUACGAGAAAGUCACGGCUAACUACGUGCCAGCAGCCGCGGUAAUACGUAGGUGGCAAGCGUUAUCCGGAAUUAUUGGGCGUAAAGGGUGCGUAGGUGGCAUGUUAAGUCUGGUGUAAAAGGCAAUAGCUCAACUAUUGUAUGCAUUGGAAACUGGCAAGCUAGAGUGUGUGAGAGGUAAGUGGAAUUCCAAGUGUAGCGGUGGAAUGCGUAGAUAUUUGGAGGAACACCAGUGGCGAAGGCGGCUUACUGGCACACAACUGACACUGAGGCACGACAGCGUGGGGAGCAAAUAGGAUUAGAUACCCUAGUAGUCCACGCCGUAAACGAUGAGCGCUAAGUGUUGGCCAUUAGUUUGGUCAGUGCUGAAGCAAACGCAUUAAGCGCUCCGCCUGAAGAGUACGGUCGCAAGGCUGAAACUCAAAGGAAUUGACGGGUCCCCGCACAAGCGGUGGAGCAUGUGGUUUAAUUCGAAGAUACGCGAAGAACCUUACCUACACUUGACAUCCCUCUGACAGAUAUAGAGAUAUAUUUUUCUUCGGACAGAAGUGACAGGUGGUGCAUGGUUUGUCGUCAGCUCCGUGUCGUGAGAUGUUGGGUUAAGUCCCGCAACCGAGCGCAACCCCUAUUAAUUAAUUGCUAACAUUUAAUUUAAGGACUCUAGUCCG
Molecule: ribosomal RNA, 1160 nt
Filed under: uncultured bacterium
Lineage: Bacteria
Description: bacterial SSU rRNA
Rfam family: Bacterial small subunit ribosomal RNA
Source: RNAcentral